Molecule: small nuclear RNA, 112 nt
Organism: Dipodomys ordii (Ord's kangaroo rat)
Lineage: Eukaryota; Metazoa; Chordata; Mammalia; Rodentia; Heteromyidae
Source: Ensembl
GUGCUUGCUUCAGCAGCACAUAUACUAAAAUUGAAAUGAUAUGGGCAAGGUUAGCAUAGUCCCUGCACAAAAUACAUGACAGAUAACUUAAAAUGAUAAUUUGUUUUGUUUU